UAGCCGGAGCCUUUGCAGUAGUAGGAGGCAGGAGACACCUCUUUGCUUUGUGUCCAAGAUUACCGCACCUCUCACACAUAGAAGGGAUCCAUGUGUACUCAACAUUAACAAGGAAAAUGUGACCUUGUUUAUCAUCCAGUGCAAUAAGCUUUGGGAAGUCUUUGUCCAGCUCCAUCUCAACUAAAACCUUUGCUUCACCCAUAUUGGUGGGAUCAAGUCGGGGUUUGUGCGUAAGGAUAGGCUCUCCUAGUCCUGAGGCGACAUGACUUAUUCCUAAUCUUGAGUAGCAACAAUCAGGGACGUUCUUCAAGUUAGCCCAAACCGGUAAGGUAGAGAUUUCAGGGAUUUUAAAAGAGCCUUCUGGAGUCCAUGGCAGGACAAAAAGUAAACAAUCAU
Molecule: long non-coding RNA, 396 nt
Filed under: Brassica napus (rape)
Lineage: Eukaryota; Viridiplantae; Streptophyta; Magnoliopsida; Brassicales; Brassicaceae
Description: long non-coding RNA (BNAP_LNC010211)
Source: RNAcentral